This 378-nucleotide long non-coding RNA is filed under the name Medicago truncatula (barrel medic). RNAcentral describes it as "long non-coding RNA (MTRU_LNC004278)". Lineage: Eukaryota; Viridiplantae; Streptophyta; Magnoliopsida; Fabales; Fabaceae. The record is from RNAcentral.
AUACGAUUUCGCUUCAGUCAGAUAGCUCGUGUAAAUACUCAGAAGCGUAUCAUAAGUGAUAUGUGCCGAUCUCAAACGUUUGGUCUCCGCGGCACUUUCCUCAAAUUCCAAUCCUAAGUAGUUAACCAAAUACUAUGUCCCUUGAUGAAUAGACAAGCUCUCAUGAAACAUCAGAUUACCUCCAACAGGUAUAUGCAACAAGCACGAAACGUCAUCCAAUGUGAUUGUCAUUUCACCUACAGGAAGAUGAAAACUACUUGUCUCUGAGUGCCACCUCUCUAAGAAAGCAAUCAAGAGACUGUGGUCCACUUGACCAUAAUUUGUCUCCAAGAGCGGGUAAAGACCAGAUGCCCUGAUGACAUUCCAGAACCACCCCAU